UACGAAGGGGGCUAGCGUUGCUCGGAAUCACUGGGCGUAAAGCGCACGUAGGCGGACUCUUAAGUCGGUGGUGAAAUCCUGGAGCUCAACUCCAGAACUGCCUUCGAUACUGAGAGUCUCGAGUCCGAGAGAGGUGAGUGGAACUGCGAGUGUAGAGGUGAAAUUCGUAGAUAUUCGCAAGAACACCAGUGGCGAAGGCGGCUCACUGGCUCGGUACUGACGCUGAGGUGCGAAAACGUGGGGAGCAAACAGG
This 253-nucleotide ribosomal RNA is filed under the name uncultured bacterium. RNAcentral's name for it is "partial 16S ribosomal RNA". It matches the Rfam family "Bacterial small subunit ribosomal RNA", at positions 524 to 776 of the family's 1533-position model. The record is from RNAcentral.